RNAcentral lists this transfer RNA (72 nucleotides) under Rhipicephalus sanguineus (brown dog tick). RNAcentral describes it as "transfer RNA threonine (anticodon CGU)". It matches the Rfam family "tRNA". From Rfam's summary of the family: Transfer RNA (tRNA) molecules are approximately 80 nucleotides in length. Their secondary structure includes four short double-helical elements and three loops (D, anti-codon, and T loops). Further hydrogen bonds mediate the characteristic L-shaped molecular structure. tRNAs have two regions of fundamental functional importance: the anti-codon, which is responsible for specific mRNA codon recognition, and the 3' end, to which the tRNAs corresponding amino acid is attached (by aminoacyl-tRNA synthetases). tRNAs cope with the degeneracy of the genetic code in two manners: having more than one tRNA (with a specific anti-codon) for a particular amino acid; and 'wobble' base-pairing, i.e. permitting non-standard base-pairing at the 3rd anti-codon position. Lineage: Eukaryota; Metazoa; Arthropoda; Arachnida; Ixodida; Ixodidae. The record is from Rfam by way of RNAcentral.
GCCGCCGUAGCUCAGUGGUCGAGCAUCGGACGCGUUAUUCGAAGGUCGCAGGUUCGAUCCCUGCCGGCGGCA